Long non-coding RNA from Solea solea (common sole), 359 nucleotides. RefSeq lists it as uncharacterized. The record is from RefSeq and is a predicted model, not a curated record. Lineage: Eukaryota; Metazoa; Chordata; Actinopteri; Pleuronectiformes; Soleidae. The transcript is spliced from 3 exons.
GGACUGCCGGCGCGUGGAGCAGGAGCUGCUGCUGCUGCUGCUGCACGUGGGGACUCGGGGCACCUUGGCCACACACACAGACAGAGAUGCACGGGUCUAAUUACGACAUGUGGCGAGAGGAGGAGUCCUGGAGUUUGCAGAAAACCAUCUCCCAACGCACCACACUUCAAGUCUUGAUGGGCUACAACAGAAGAAGAACACAACGGGUGCCAUGUCAUUCCACCAACAUUGACUUUUUUAGUGCAAAAAAAAAUUGAAGGGUCGGGAAAAACUGUGAUGUGGAGGACAAAUAAACGAGUGUUUGCCAAGAAUCUAAGUCAACAAUCGCUCUUGUGUUUGGGAAAGAGGACUGUCAUCAC